Molecule: long non-coding RNA, 237 nt
Filed under: Elaeis guineensis (African oil palm)
Lineage: Eukaryota; Viridiplantae; Streptophyta; Magnoliopsida; Arecales; Arecaceae
Description: long non-coding RNA (EGUI_LNC070426)
Source: RNAcentral
UAUUUAAUAAAUGGAUCGAGUCAAGUUGGAUCGGAUUAUAAGCCGUUUAAUCCAUGACAGUUGGAGACCUUUAAGGGCUUUAGGAAUUAGGAUUCGAUCAUUUGCCUACUUCUAUGUCAAUCACAUCACCCUCCUCACCACUAUCCUCACCCUCUCGCUCGUCUCCCAUCCCUUCUGCCUCCUCAUCCUUCUCAACCUCCUCACUAUCUAGUGCUUCCUCUACCUAUUCUGCCCCGC